This 484-nucleotide ribosomal RNA is filed under the name uncultured bacterium. RNAcentral's name for it is "partial 16S ribosomal RNA". It matches the Rfam family "Bacterial small subunit ribosomal RNA", at positions 30 to 507 of the family's 1533-position model. The record is from RNAcentral.
AUUGAACGCUGGCGGCAGGCCUAACACAUGCAAGUCGAGCGGAUGAAGGGAGCUUGCUCCUGGAUUCAGCGGCGGACGGGUGAGUAAUGCCUAGGAAUCUGCCUGGUAGUGGGGGAUAACGUCCGGAAACGGGCGCUAAUACCGCAUACGCCCUGAGGGAGAACGUGGGGGAUCUUCGGACCUCCCGCUAUCAGAUGAGCCUAGGUCGGAUUAGCUAGUUGGUGGGGUAAAGGCCUACCAAGGCGACGAUCCGUAACUGGUCUGAGAGGAUGAUCAGUCACACUGGAACUGAGACACGGUCCAGACUCCUACGGGAGGCAGCAGUGGGGAAUAUUGGACAAUGGGCGAAAGCCUGAUCCAGCCAUGCCGCGUGUGUGAAGAAGGUCUUCGGAUUGUAAAGCACUUUAAGUUGGGAGGAAGGGCAGUAAGUUAAUACCUUGCUGUUUUGACGUUACCAACAGAAUAAGCACCGGCUAACUUCGUG